CAAAGAAGGUAAUAAUCCUGUAGUCGAAAAUGUUGUCUCUCUUGAGUGGAUCCUGAGUACGACGGAGCACGUGAAAUUCCGUCGGAAUCUGGGAGGACCAUCUCCUAAGGCUAAAUACUCUCUAGUGACCGAUAGUGAACCAGUACCGUGAGGGAAAGGUGAAAAGCACCCCGGAAGGGGAGUGAAAUAGAACCUGAAACCGUGUGCUUACAAGUAGUCAGAGCCCGUUAAUGGGUGAUGGCGUGCCUUUUGUAGAAUGAACCGGCGAGUUACGAUUUGAUGCAAGGUUAAGCAGUAAAUGUGGAGCCGUAGCGAAAGCGAGUCUGAAUAGGGCGUUUAGUAUUUGGUCGUAGACCCGAAACCAGGUGAUCUACCCUUGGUCAGGUUGAAGUUCAGGUAACACUGAAUGGAGGACCGAACCGACUUACGUUGAAAAGUGAGCGGAUGAACUGAGGGUAGCGGAGAAAUUCCAAUCGAACCUGGAGAUAGCUGGUUCUCUCCGAAAUAGCUUUAGGGCUAGCCUCAAGUGAUGAUUAUUGGAGGUAGAGCACUGUUUGGACGAGGGGCCCCUCUCGGGUUACCGAAUUCAGACAAACUCCGAAUGCCAAUUAAUUUAACUUGGGAGUCAGAACAUGGGUGAUAAGGUCCGUGUUCGAAAGGGAAACAGCCCAGACCACCAGCUA
RNAcentral lists this ribosomal RNA (683 nucleotides) under Staphylococcus aureus. RNAcentral describes it as "partial 23S ribosomal RNA". It matches the Rfam family "Bacterial large subunit ribosomal RNA", at positions 356 to 1041 of the family's 2925-position model. The record is from RNAcentral. Lineage: Bacteria; Bacillati; Bacillota; Bacilli; Caryophanales; Staphylococcaceae.